This 21-nucleotide microRNA is filed under the name Lotus japonicus. RNAcentral's name for it is "lja-miR11086-5p". The record is from miRBase by way of RNAcentral. Lineage: Eukaryota; Viridiplantae; Streptophyta; Magnoliopsida; Fabales; Fabaceae.
UGUCGAGUUGCUCCAUCUAAC